RNAcentral lists this small RNA (295 nucleotides) under Pongo abelii (Sumatran orangutan). Lineage: Eukaryota; Metazoa; Chordata; Mammalia; Primates; Hominidae. The record is from RNAcentral.
CCCAGGCAUGGUGGCGCACGCCUGUAAUCCCUGCUACUCGGGAGGCUGAGGCAGGAGAAUUGCUAGAACCCAGGAGGCGGAGGUUGCAGUGAGCCCAGAUCACGCCACUGCACUCCAGCCUGGGUGACAGAGCAAGACUCUGUCUCAAGAAAAAAAAAAAAAAUUGUUUCUUCAAUAAUUUUGUUGUUUUGAUUUUGAGACAGAGUCUUACUGUGUCACCAGGCUGGAGUGCUGUGGCAAGAUCUCGGCUCACUGCAACUUCUACCUCCCGGGUUCAAGCGAUUCUCCUGCCUCA